GGUCCUGUAGUGUAGCGGUUAUCACAUGGGAUUCUGAUCUCUCGAAUAUAAUCCGAUUUUCCCAUGACCCAGGUUCGAUUCCUGGUAGGACCU
Non-coding RNA from Dendrothele bispora CBS 962.96, 93 nucleotides. The record is from the annotation of a GenBank genome assembly. NCBI's taxonomy places the organism in Eukaryota, Fungi, Basidiomycota, Agaricomycetes, Agaricales.